This 334-nucleotide unclassified non-coding RNA is filed under the name soil metagenome. RNAcentral describes it as "partial contains 5.8S ribosomal RNA, internal transcribed spacer 2, and large subunit ribosomal RNA". The stretch from base 1 to 120 matches the Rfam family "5.8S ribosomal RNA", at positions 35 to 154 of the family's 154-position model. The record is from RNAcentral.
GAUGAAGAACGUAGCGAAAUGCGAUACGUAAUGUGAAUUGCAGAAUUCAGUGAAUCAUCGAAUCUUUGAACGCACAUUGCGCCUGCCAGCACUCUGGCAGGCAUGCCUGUUCGAGCGUCAUUUCAACCAUCAAGCCCUAGGCUUGCGUUGGAGCCCUGCGGCUGCCGCAGGCCCCUAAAAGCAGUGGCGGGCUCGCUAUCACACCGAGUGCAGUAGAUUACUCUUCGCUCAGGGCGUGUGGCGGGUUCCAGCCGUGAAACCCCCUACUUCUCAAGGUUGACCUCGGAUCAGGCAGGAAUACCCGCUGAACUUAAGCAUAUCAAUAAGCGGAGGA